GGAGAAAGUAACCGACUUGGGAAGAGGAGGUUCCACUGCCGUUACGGCUAUAUUGAUUGAUGGUCUCAAGCUUGUGGUAGCGAAUAUUGGAGAUUCUCGGGCAGUGAUUUCCGAGAAUGGUAUCGCAAAGCAGCUUUCAGUUGAUCAUGAACCGAGUAAAGAGCGAGAACAAAUUGAAGAGAAGGGUGGUUUUGUGUCAAAUAUUCCAGGAGAUGUUCCCCGUGUUGAUGGGCAGCUGGCCGUGGCUAGGGCAUUUGGAGAUCGAAGCUUGAAGAGACAUCUCAGUUCUGAACCGGAUGUGGUGGAAGUCGAUAUAGAUGUGGGCACAGAAUGUAUAAUCCUGGCAAGCGAUGGUUUAUGGAAGGUUAUGUCGAACCAAGAGGCGGUCGAUUUGAUCAAGGAUAUAAAGGAUCCGCAGUCGGCAGCCAAGCAUCUGACUGAGGAGGCUGUUACCAGAAAGAGCAAGGAUGACAUCUCUUGUAUUGUUGUAAAAAUUUACUGAUUCUUUCUUUAUGUCUUCAGAGUGGAAC
This 530-nucleotide unclassified non-coding RNA is filed under the name Hevea brasiliensis (rubber tree). Lineage: Eukaryota; Viridiplantae; Streptophyta; Magnoliopsida; Malpighiales; Euphorbiaceae. The record is from RNAcentral.